This 573-nucleotide ribosomal RNA is filed under the name fungal endophyte. RNAcentral's name for it is "eukaryotic LSU rRNA". The stretch from base 198 to 351 matches the Rfam family "5.8S ribosomal RNA". The record is from RNAcentral. Lineage: Eukaryota; Fungi.
UGGUGAACCAGCGGAGGGAUCAUUACUGAGUUUACGCUCUAUAACCCUUUGUGAACAUACCUAUAACUGUUGCUUCGGCGGGUAGGGUCUCCGUGACCCUCCCGGCCUCCCGCCCCCGGGCGGGUCGGCGCCCGCCGGAGGAUAACCAAACUCUGAUUUAACGACGUUUCUUCUGAGUGGUACAAGCAAAUAAUCAAAACUUUUAACAACGGAUCUCUUGGUUCUGGCAUCGAUGAAGAACGCAGCGAAAUGCGAUAAGUAAUGUGAAUUGCAGAAUUCAGUGAAUCAUCGAAUCUUUGAACGCACAUUGCGCCCGCCAGCAUUCUGGCGGGCAUGCCUGUUCGAGCGUCAUUUCAACCCUCAAGCUCUGCUUGGUGUUGGGGCCCUACAGCUGAUGUAGGCCCUCAAAGGUAGUGGCGGACCCUCCCGGAGCCUCCUUUGCGUAGUAACUUUACGUCUCGCACUGGGAUCCGGAGGGACUCUUGCCGUAAAACCCCCAAUUUUCCAAAGGUUGACCUCGGAUCAGGUAGGAAUACCCGCUGAACUUAAGCAUAUCAAUAAGCGGAGGAGGUC